CAGUAGCCGCGGUAAUACGUAGGUGGCAAGCGUUGUCCGGAAUUAUUGGGCGUAAAGGGCUCGCAGGCGGUUUCUUAAGUCUGAUGUGAAAGCCCCCGGCCCAACCGGGGAGGGUCAUUGGAAACUGGGAAACUUGAGUGCAGAAGAGGAGAGUGGAAUUCCACGUGUAGCGGUGAAAUGCGUAGAGAUGUGGAGGAACACCAGUGGCGAAGGCGACUCUCUGGUCUGUAACUGACGCUGAGGAGCGAAAGCGUGGGGAGCAAAUGGGAUUAGAUACCCCAGUAGUCCCUGUCUCUUAUAC
This 301-nucleotide ribosomal RNA is filed under the name uncultured bacterium. Its description in RNAcentral is "partial 16S ribosomal RNA". It matches the Rfam family "Bacterial small subunit ribosomal RNA", at positions 509 to 807 of the family's 1533-position model. The record is from RNAcentral.